Molecule: ribosomal RNA, 915 nt
Filed under: uncultured bacterium
Lineage: Bacteria
Description: bacterial SSU rRNA
Rfam family: Bacterial small subunit ribosomal RNA
Source: RNAcentral
GGCGAGUGGCGCACGGGUGCGCAACGCGUAUGGAACCUGCCCCCUACCGGGGAAUAGCCCAGAGAAAUUUGGAUUAACGCCCCAUGGCACCUAUUGACGGCAUCGUCUUUGGGUUAAAGGUUACGGUAGGGGAUGGCCAUGCGUACCAUUAGCUAGUUGGUGGGGCAACGGCCCACCAAGGCGACGAUGGUUAGGGGCCCUGAGAGGGGGAUCCCCCACACUGGUACUGAGACACGGACCAGACUCCUACGGGAGGCAGCAGUGAGGAAUAUUGGACAAUGGGCGGAAGCCUGAUCCAGCCAUGCCGCGUGCAGGAAGACCGCCCUAUGGGUCGUAAACUGCUUUUAUACGGGAAGAAGAAGCGCCACGUGUGGCGUGCUGACGGUACCGUACGAAUAAGGACCGGCUAACUCCGUGCCAGCAGCCGCGGUAAUACGGAGGGUCCGAGCGUUAUCCGGAAUCAUUGGGUUUAAAGGGUCCGUAGGCGGGGCGCUAAGUCAGGGGUGAAAGUUUGCGGCUCAACCGUAAAAUUGCCUUUGAUACUGGCGUUCUUGAGUUGCGUUGAAGUUGCCGGAAUAUGUAGUGUAGCGGUGAAAUGCAUAGAUAUUACAUAGAACACCGAUUGCGAAGGCAGGCGACUAAUCGCACACUGACGCUGAUGGACGAAAGCGUGGGUAGCGAACGGGAUUAGAUACCCCGGUAGUCCACGCCGUAAACGAUGGAUACUAGCUGUGGGGCGCUCAAGUUCUGCGGCCAAGCGAAAGUGAUAAGUAUCCCACCUGGGGAGUACGUUCGCAAGAAUGAAACUCAAGGAAUUGACGGGGGCCCGCACAAGCGGUGGAGCAUGUGGUUUAAUUCGAUGAUACGCGAGGAACCUUACCAGGGCUUAAAUGUGUUAUGACAGGCUUAGAGAUA